GAUUGGAAAUGUGUUCAUUUGAUCUAUUUCACAAAGUAAGAACCAUAGGUAAACAUUGUGUGCAUGCUAGGAGCAUGGGACAAGUGUUGUAAUAAUUCAAGUAAGAAGUUGAUUACCCGAAACAACAAAUAAUGAGUAAUCGAUAUGGUGAUAAAUAAAAGGUGUUUUAUUUAUACUCAAAGGUUUGAGGCCAUAUGGGAUUAGUAUUAUUCUUGUGUUUCACUUUGCAUGUUUUGACUUCCUGAAUAAUUUAAUUGGUUAAGAACAGUCAAAUUAUUCGAACGGGCCACAGUCGUUCAUAUGUUGGAAGUAGGUAUGAAUGAAGACUGUCGUGAAUUGGUGUGUGGAUUGUCUAAAGAGUAUUAGACAUAAGCAAAUGUUUGCUGCAACGUUCAUGAGUGCUUAUGAAUAUGAUUUGAGCAUUGGAUUAAACCCACGCUCACUUGGAUCACUCCAUGAAUUGUAUCACGAGUGAUUGGUGAGACGAUAACAUCUUAUAUUCUUGAAACCGAGAUGUGUGAGUUGUAUCUUGCGAAUCGGUUGCACAUUGAUAAUAUGUAAACGCACCAGUAACUUGGUGUUAUAAAACAUAUUGUUGUGUGUGAUUCGGUGAGUGAGUGCAAGCGAGCAUUGAAUCAAAGUUUAUCCGUUCCUUUUAUCCAAAGUAGGAUAAAAGCGAUAUCUGUGGGCCCCUCGAUGAUUUAGUGAUGGCACCUAAGCGCUUGGCCAAGCCGGGACUAAAUUGAUGUGUUCAAUUGUAGUCUGUUGUCAGUCGUCAUAAAUCUGAAUUCGGGAAAUAGCACAUAGACAGAGAGAAUGAUUUAGAUCCAUGUCUCAGUCUAUACGAUAUCUAGAAUGGAGGAAUAUAUGAUCCCUUAUCUAAAGGACACGCGUAUCUGAUAAGAUCAGAGUUGACAGCGGCUUUGGAAAGCUACGAUUGCAGAUCAGGAUCUGAAGUCAUACGCAGAAUAGUUAUUAGACUUAUCCAAGUGGGAGACUGUUGGAUUAGUGUCUAAGUCCAUAACUAUUUUGGUAUGUACUUGACCCGAUGGUGCAUGGUCCUUUUGGGUUGCCUUCACCAAAGCAACUUGAUAGGAUGAAUUAUGGAGAGAAAGGAUUAAAUAUGAUUUAUUAAUAUGUUAUGAGAAUAAUAUAUUAAAGGAGAAAUCAUAUUGUUUAAUUAAUAUUAGUCAAGAAUUAAUAAGAAUUAAGUUUGUGGCUAAAAGAUAUUAAUUAAACUUAAGGUACUAGAACUGUCAAUUGUGUGAUAGUUGAAUAUUGAGCUAAUGGACUCCAUAUUAAAGGGGUGGACGAAUUCUAUGGGGAAACCCAUUAGAAAUCGUCCAAAGGCCUUUAAGAAAGGGGUUCAUGGGUUGUUUAGGGCCUAAGCAUCCAAAUUAGGGUUUCCUUGUUAGAUAACCCUAAUAGCCUCACUAUUUAAGGAACCCUUAAGCCCCAAAAACGUGGUGAACUAAUUGGUUAGGGUUUCCACACGUUUUGGGCAGCCUCCUUCUCUUGUCCUCUUCAUCCUCUUGCUCUUGGUGUUUGUGAACCAUUAAAGGAGUGACAUUUGUGACUCUAAGCUUUCUAAGGUCAAUACAAGAAGGAUUUGAGAUUGUUAUUGCUACAUAACAAUCAAGGUAUGAUCUAAACUCUAAUUCAUAUGUUAUAUUGAUUAUCAUAUAUUAGAUCUAGGGUUUAUAGUCUUGGAUGAAUUGCAUGUACAAUAGAGAAACCUAGAUCCAAGCAUUAGGGUUUGUAUGAGCACAUAGGAUGUUCUUAUAGCUAAAACCCAUCAUAUGAUUCUAAACGUUUUGGAUCCAAAAUAAAAUGAUGAAAUUUUUCACGAUUUAUAAAUGUAAGAUUCAAAACUUUUUUGAUACAAGAAAACUGAAAGAUCUGGUAUGCUUAAGAAUCAUAUUAAAGUGAUAUUGCUAAUUAACAUAUGAUACUAAUGGGUCACACUAACAACAACUUGAUAUAAUUGAUUAUUUAUUAGAAAUUGAUUUUAAUAAAUAUUCAAUAAACUCAUAUAAUUAAUUGGAAAUUAUUUGUUUCAUAGAAAUAAUAAUUUUCAUUAGCAAGUAACAUUACAUAAUUCAUAUGGUAUGAAUUAAUAAGUCAUGUACAACAUUCUGGACUAGAUAAAUUCUUUUGUCUUUUACCAAAAAGUUAAGGUUUAUAUUUAAUAAACUUGGUUUAUAAAAUAUAAAGCUUUUGUCUUCCUUUUUAUAUCUUAAUUUUGAAAAUUGAAGAGUCAAAAAAGGUGGCAUGACUUUCAUGUUAAUUUAUUCAAAAGUAAUGUCUAACCAUACAAGAAUGGGGGGACAUGGUGGUCUAGUGACAAGAGAAUACUUAAAUGGUUAAGCACUUGUGUGUAAAAGAUCUACUUUAUGAAGGCUUUCAUCUCUUACUCUUAUUAGUGCACAAAACCGUAAGUAGCAUGCAUGUGUGCAUGCUCUCACUUUUGAUCAUCUCUUGAAGAACACUUGCUUAUUUUUGCUCUCUAUGGUUCAUAUUUUGAUAUGAACUAAAGCUUAAGAGUUAUAUAAGAGUUUUAUACAAAGGAACUACCAUUCUACAUCAAGUUGAGUCAUUGUUGGUGUCUCUAAAGUUCAUCAUUCCCCAUCAACUUCCAAGUCUCCCAAUAGGAUCCAAAGAACUACAAAGGUUGUGAUUUCUCCAUCUUUUUCUUUGGUUGGUGUUUAAUCUUUCUACAAAUUGCAAGAUGAUCAUUAGUGGGUUUAACUUAUUUAUUUUAUUCAAAAUUUAUAAGUCUUUCGUUGCCUAAAAAUCAUAUUUUUGAAACUAGUUUUUGAAUAAAAAUGCAACAAAAACAUGAUCCAAUUUUUUUUAUUCAAAAUUUUAAUGAUGCAAAAAUAUUAUACAUCAAAAACUUUUAUGAUCCAUUUUAUAGUAAAAACUAAAAAAGUAACUAUGAGACUUAACUAAAUUCUAAAGAAAAAAAAAACAUCUAACAAAACAAUAUAUAUUAACACAUAAUCAAGAAAACCCAUUGUAAACAAAAAAAAGUAAAAAAUUUCAUAUCUAUAACAAAAUUAUUAAAAACUAAAAAUGUGUCUAAACCAAGUUCCUAACAAAUAAACAAACAUAUUCAAGUAAUAUUCUUUAAGAACCACAUCACACCACACAUAACAUACAACUAACAUCAAAACCAUACUUAUCUAAGUAACAUUGUUUUAACAUCACACACCAACAACAAGAAACUUAAAAUAACCAAAAACUCUUCAACAAGAUACUAACCAUCAAUCACAUCACUCCAAUAUGUUGAACCCUAACUUUAACGUAUGCCGAUGGACUUCAAUGUAAAUCUUUUUCUUCUUGUACUCAACUAAUGAAAUUCAUGUAGAGUUUUCAAAAACUAGGUUUGCACAAAUUAAACCUAGACAAUAAUAUCUUACCAACAUUCAUCUUCCUUGACUCAUGCAACUGUGGGUUUUUUCAUCUGACUCGGUUUCUAAAUCACCGUCAAGAUUAUUAAACUUCCAUAUUACUCGUUAGAAAACAAAAACCAUAGUUAAUAAUCUUUUUUUUUUGUCUGCCAAUCCAAGUCAAAUCAUUUCAGAUGCAUUAAUUAACUAGCAUUCCUAUAACAUCUUCACAUAACUAAAUCUUCCAAUUCAGUAGUAACCAUUUUAGGAGUCCAAUAAAAAGUUGUAAGAUUUCACCUGUCAAUUAACGAACACAAUUGCAUAUGAGGAUGAAUCAAUAACUUAUAUAUACCAAUCAAUAAUAAACAUUAAUGAAUGAAACUAAACUAGGGUUAACAUGUUCAUAUAAUAUAGUAACUUAUACAUAUGAUCGAAUAAACAACACAUAUAAAUGAAAGUAAACUAAGAUUAACAAUUACAUAUAAGUCACAAUUACUAACUUAUACAUAUAAUCCAAUAAUCAACAUAUAAAAAGAGAACCAACGUUAACAAAGACAAACUUAAACAUUUAAAAUAAAAAAAAAAUGGAAACUUAGAUAUAAAUGAAGGUAAACUAAGGUUUAUCAAAAGGACCAUGAGUUCAUGAAGUAAAUAUAAUCAAGUCUACAACUAAAAUCAACUAACAACAAAAGAUAUGACAUAAAACUAAUAAAUACAAAAGAUAAAUCUUGAUAUACUAUCAAUAUUUAGCACUCAUUAAACCUAAAAUAACAUUUUUUUUACCAUAACAUAAAUUUAUGAUACAAACUCAAUGUAAAUUUUGACACCUACCAGUUGGUAUUUCACAUUUUAAAUAUAACUGUCAGUUUUUCCAACAAGUUGUUAUCAAGAAAAAACAUCAAACAAUGUCGUAAACAACUAUAAUAGUACUUCACACAUAUAUAAACAAAUAAAAAUAACACAAAAUCACUAAGAAUUCAAAUUUCCCCUUAUGUGCUUUCUUUCAGACAUUAGAUCGAGCACUUUGUAAGCAUCAUUGAAUUCAAUUUCAGGUUGAUUGUUUUAUCUGAUGUUUCAUCCAAAAAUCUUUUCAAAAUAAAAAUCUAUAAUGAAUCAAUCACAGUAUUAAAAAACAAACAAACAUCGAAAAUAACUUUCUGAAAUUAGGGUUUCAACAAACACCGAUGAAGACUAACAUAAAACAAAAAUAUUUAAACAUAGAUGUAAGAAAAAGAAUUUUACCUGAUUCCAUUGGAUUUAAAUGUGGAUAAAUAAUGUCAAACAACGUGAAUCCUAUCUAAUAAAUGAAUGUUUUUUUGCCACAUGUCACUUUGUCAUGAAUGAUAACACUUGACAUUUUAUGGUGUUUUUGAAUUUAAUAAAAUCCACAUAUCAUUUUCUUGUAUAUAUCAUUUUUAUUUAAAAAUGUCACCUAAUUAUGUAUUUAUGAGGAUUAAAGAAUACACUAUCCUUUCAAAUUUUAAUUCCUACAUUUAAGGCCAUUUAAAUCAAUUUUCCGUUUAUUUUUCUUAUUCGAUAUUAUUAGCCUAAAACUAUGAUAUUAUUUGAUAAAGGCACUCAAAUUCACAUAUAUUCUAUUUUUUUUAAAAUUUCCAGUGCAUCUAUAUAUGUUAUACGGAUUUAAAAUUAUGCUACUAAGAUGCUUUUUUUAUAUUUUUCUUAGAUUUUUUGUUCUUUGUUUUCUUAUUUUCCAAAUAAAAUUUAUUUAAACAUCUUUUUUAGAACAAUAAAAUAAUAGAAGUUAUUAGCCAACUAAAUUAUUUCAUUAUAAAUAUUUUAAAUAAAGCACCCGUAUUACUAUCUAUGAGUAUAGUUUUUUUAUAUUAAAAUUUCUAUUUUAUAGUACAACAUGAUGAUUGUAUCAUUAAUCUUGAGUUAAAACACACCGUUGAUGUUUUGAUAUUUAACUUUUAUUUUAAUCAAGCCGUGUUGAGCGUCGUGCGGUUUGGUGCGGUUAUUAACUAAAAUCUCACAACUAAAAGCAAACGUGGUUAAUCCAUUUUUAAAACCGCUUGGUGCGGUUAUUUUUGCGGUGCGGUUAUGUGGUUAUUUUUGCGGUGCGGUUUUGUUUUUUGUUUUUUUUUUGCGGUUAUUAACCGUAUGGAUUUGGUGCGGUUAUUUUGUGUGCUUUUUAACCAUAGUUUAGAGCUCAAAUGGUUUUAAGAGUUCAAACAUAUUAUUUAUAAUAAUAAAAACCAUAAGGUAUAAGACAAUUAACUUAAAUAUCUAAAAAUUGUCUAAUUUCACCAUUUUUCAAAGUUAAACAUAACAAAAAAUCAACACUUUUGUCUUCUAGUAUUUUAUCCAUUUUUCAUCCAUGAAACUUGUCUUAUUUUUAAUAUUUAAUAUAUUAAUAAUUAAUAAAAUAAAAUGUAUAUAAUAUAUGCGGUGUGGUGCGGUUUUUGAAAAUUAAUAACUGCACCACACAGCAAAUUUGUGGUUUUUAAAAAACAGAAAACCUCACCAUCAGUUUUUAUUGCGGUUGCGGUUUUUGUGGUUAAUUUUAGUUGCGGUGCGGUUUUGCUCACCUCUACCGUGUAGUAUACGGGUCUUACACCUAGUGUAAGAUGAAAGUAGAGGAUUCUAACCGAAAUCUGAACGAUGGACUGCGAUUUUUACUUGAAACCCUAGUUUACAACAAGAACAUACAAAACUGCACAACUGGAAAGAGAAUUUACAAAAUGAUGGAAGGCUUUGAGAGAAAAUAGAGACGAUGGAGGAAGAACCAAUGUUAGAUGCUAACUCUGUGUGAUGUUCAUACGCUCAACUAGGGAUGUGCAUUAGAACUACUGGAAUCGGAACCGAUCUUGUUCCACAAAAAACCGGUUAAAAAACAGGAACUGGUUUUUAAAAUUCUGUAACUCACUCAUAUAAAGUCGGAAUUACUUGAUUUUUUUUCCAGAAUGUAAUUCAGUGUUUUUACUUCAUUUUAGACUAAAAAAAAAAAAAAAAAAAAAAAAAAAAAAAAAAAAAAAAAANAACCACAUAUUUAGGUUAAAUAUUGAAUCAUAUACAACUCAGAGAAGAUAAUGAUGCGUUUUUUCUUUAUGUUUCAACAUGUUUUUCUUUUGUCCCGAUUUUUAAAAUACCGUAGCUCACUAAUAUGAAGAUGUAAUUACUUGAUUUUUUUUUCAAUAUGUAAUUUUGUGUUUGUACUUCAUUUUAGACACUAACAAAUCAUAUUUUGGUUAAAUAAUGAAUCAUAUACAAACCUCAGAAGACAACAUUUCGAUGUUGCGUUUUUUCUGUUUUAGCACGUUUUAGUUAAAAAUGUGUUUGGAAGAUGGAAAAGUUCUUUUCAAAAUAACUUUUUAUGAAGAAGGAAAUAGUGAGUUUUCAAAAGUCAUGAAAGUGUGACUUUUUGCAACUUUAAAACUUUUAAAGCUAAAUCACACUCAAAAGUCAAAAAAAAAUACUACCCGAACACUUUUUAAAAACAACUUUUGGCUUUUGCUUCUUCAAAUGAACUUUUACAAAAAGAACUUUUGGGCUUAAAAAGUAAUCCCAAACUGGGAAUUAAUUGUUUUUCAGAAUGCUACUAAACUAUAUGUAUGUAUUAUGAAUUGCAUCAUCAUUAGUUUCACCUUAUUUAUAACCGGUUCUUGUUUGGAAAAAUAAUCAAAAAAUCGAAACCAACGGUCCAGUUCCCUUCGCAAUACUGCUUCCGAUUCCGAACCGGUUCGAUCUUAUUCGGUUCCAAAACUCAUCCCUACGCUCAACGAUUCAGAUAGCCAAAUUGAUCAUAACACCCACAAAUAUAUUGUCCGUGCUGGAAAAACUACAAAAAGUUUCCUUUAUUCACAAUUUUGCCCCCGCGAAUUUAGAAAAGAUAAUCAGAAAUUUUGAAUUAAUGUCAACCAUUUGAUUAAUAAAACGAAUAUAUAUAUAUAUAUAUAUAUAUAUAUAUAUAUAUAUAUAUAUAUNNNNNNNNNNNNNNNNNNNNNNNNNNNNNNNNNNNNNNNNNNNNNNNNNNNNNNNNNNNNNNNNNNNNNNNNNNNNNNNNNNNNNNNNNNNNNNNNNNNNNNNNNNNNNNNNNNNNNNNNNNNNNNNNNNNNNNNNNNNNNNNNNNNNNNNNNNNNNNNNNNNNNNNNNNNNNNNNNNNNNNNNNNNNNNNNNNNNNNNNNNNNNNNNNNNNNNNNNNNNNNNNNNNNNNNNNNNNNNNNNNNNNNNNNNNNNNNNNNNNNNNNNNNNNNNNNNNNNNNNNNNNNNNNNNNNNNNNNNNNNNNNNNNNNNNNNNNNNNNNNNNNNNNNNNNNNNNNNNNNNNNNNNNNNNNNNNNNNNNNNNNNNNNNNNNNNNNNNNNNNNNNNNNNNNNNNNNNNNNNNNNNNNNNNNNNNNNNNNNNNNNNNNNNNNNNNNNNNNNNNNNNNNNNNNNNNNNNNNNNNNNNNNNNNNGAGAGUUAACCGGUUUUAAGAUCAAGGGUUGGGGGUUGGGGCUAUAACUAUCAUAUAUCUAAAUAUUUGGGCUUUACUGACUUAAUAUGAUAAUAUGAAUAUCUUUGGGCUAAUUUAAGGAGUUUGGCCUUUGGGGUAUAAGUCGUUCUUUUAUUUUUUCGAUAAACUUUCAUUCAAGUUCUGUAAUCCGUCAAACCAGACCAUUACGUAAGUAAGUCUUACGAAGUGUUUGGGGUUGGGGCUAUAACUAUCAUAUAUCUAAAUAUUUGGGCUUUACUGACUUAAUAUGAUAAUAUGAAUAUCUUUGGGCUAAUUUAAGGAGUUUGGCCUUUGGGGUAUAAGUCGUUCUUUUAUUUUUUCGAUAAACUUUCAUUCAAGUUCUGUAAUCCGUCAAACCAGACCAUUACGUAAGUAAGUCUUACGAAGUGUUUGUGAUUGUUUUUUAUAUUUCAAAAAUGUUUUUUGGGGCAAAACUUUUAUUGAUUUAUAGUAUUGGUAAAAUGAGUUUUUAAAAAUAUGUUUGAAUUAAUUUUUAUGAUUGAAAAUACCAUUAAAUCAUUAAGUUAAAAAAUGUUUUGCAAGAAAUCUCUUUAAAAUCUUAUAUUUGAAACUAUUGUAAUUAAAAUGGCAAAAAAGUCAAGUUAGAGAUGUUUUUGGAAAUCUCAUUUUUAAAGUGUAUUGAAAAACUAUUUUGAAAAGUGAUUUUUAGAUUUUUAAACACUUUUUUUGAUUUAUUGGCUUUUCAAAAAACCAAUAAGUCAAUAAGUUGUUGCAAAAAUCAAUCUCAAAGACUCCCUUAUAUUUAUAGCAAAAAGUAGAGGCUAAUCAAAAUUAAGAAAAAAAACAUUGGUUCAAGAGACAAUUAUUGAGGUGGAAACAUAAAACGUUUUCUUGUGGUGGACGUCAUUCUCUUUUUAAGUCGGUUUUAGGAAGUUUGGGAAUAUAUUAUAUAUGUACUUUUAAAUUUUUUGUGACUAUGUGUUGACAACUUGAGAAUUUGCGGGCUCGAGAAUUUGUGGUGGACGUAUUUCUCUUUUUAAGUCGGUUUAAGGAAGUUUGAGAAUAUACUAUAUAUGUACUUUUAAAUUUUUUGUGACUGUGUGUUGACAACUUGAAAAUUUGUGGGCUCGAUUAUUUUGGGGGGCGGAUGAGUCGGAGAAAGAAUACGUUAGGUAAAAUGGUAUGUGAUGUUUAAUUCCAAAGACAAAUGGGGCUUGGUGGGUAGUCUUUCUGCUUGUAAUAAAGUGUUGUUGUAUAGGUGUCGUUGAAGGUUUUUUUUUCUAACCGGUCGGCAUUGUGGGUUAAGGUGGUAAAAACUUCUCAUGGUGCACAUGUGGGCCUUUUCCCGUCUAUUCAAAGGGUUCGAGGUAAUGGGGUGUGGUGUUUGAUUGUAGGAACCAUUAACCAACUUCAUGAUUUGAGGCUCCUUGACGAGUUGUUUAUGAAAUGGAUUGUUGGUAAUGAUCAGAAUACUUGUUUUUGGACUCAUUUGGGGUGCGGUCCAAUUCCUUUCAGAAUUCUAUUUCAUAGAUUAUAAGUUUGUGUUUGAAUAAAAAGGCUAUUAUUGGUAAUUUUGGAUCAACGAGGGUUGGGCUUGUAAAUAGCGUCAGCAACCUAGAGGAGGGGCUGAGGAUGAGCAAUUUGAGGCUCUUUCUUCUAUUUCGAAGGAUAUGAGAUGCUCUAAAUAAUGGCGAUAUUUGGUCUUGGGAUUUAGACCAAAAAUGUGUUUUUUCUGUCAUUUCUCUUAGGUUUUAUGUUAACUUUAUUUUACUGCCAUUGAUGGUUAUUCAUACCAAAUGGAACCGUUUUCUGCCUAUAAAGAUAAAUAUCUUGAUAUUGUAGAUUGGUCUUCUUCGAUUACCGGUCGUAAGUAACUUGGAAAGAAAAUUAUUUGGAUUCGGCACGAUGCUCUUGAUGUGAUUAGGUAGUGGAGACUUGCAAACCAUCUCUUUUUUCUUGUGAUAUCACAACUCAAGUUUUGUGUGAAACUAUGGAUUUGGCUUGAUAUUUUGUAUGUUACUUUAGGUGUUUCUUUGGGUUGACUAUUUUUGUUAUGGCUAUUAAGCAAAACAUUUUACUCUCUAUUUGCAUGAUGACGACUUGGGUUGUUUGGUCUUACAAGAAUGCGAAGAUUUUUCAGUCGCCUAAUUACAAGAAGGACACAAUUAUUCAUACUAUUAUGUUAUACUAGGCGAAAAAUCGCGCAAGCAUAGAACUAUGAUGAUUAAAAUUAUGACAAAUAUUUUGCGUUGAUUACAAUAAUACAAUUACAUUAUUGAUACAUAUAUGAUAUUUAGAGUUAAUAGUUUUUUUAUAUUAAACAUUUCAUCAAGUUGUUUCUUUCUAAUAUCUAGUUAUUAUUUAUACGUAACUAAUGUUAUCCAUCACUUCUUAGCAAAUAUUUUGAUUAUUUUGGAUGCUAUUUUUUGUUGAUAAAUUAUAAAAGAACAACAAAAAACAAGUUUCAAGUGGAAACUAGAAAAUUAAGAAACAAUAUUAAAAUGACAAACAAAAUAAAUAAAUUUUAAUAAUAGAAACGAAAACAAAUGAUAAGCUUCAAUUAGAAAUCAGAGAAUUAAAAAAACCAUAUUAAAAUGACAAACAAAAACAUAAACUCGAAUAAUAGAAAACAAUAUAUAAAAAAUAAAAGAAGUUUAACAAACAAAAAAUAUAAUAAUAAUCUAUUGACAAAAUUGCAAAAAUGGUCCCUGUGGUAUGCAUUUUUUUGGGGGUUUUAGUCUAAACCCCGAUUUUUUUGGAUUGGUGGUCAUUUUGGACUAGUUUAUAUGUAAACAUGGUCCCUGUGAAAAUCGAAAUGACUAAAUUUCCCUCUUGAUAUAUUUUUUUAUAUUUUUUCAAUUUAAUUUAAUGUUUUAUUAAUAAUAAAAUGGGUCUCUCUCUCUCUCUCUCUAUAUAUAUAUAUAUAUAUACAUAUGGAGUAAACAACAAUUUUGUCUAACUUAUGAAAAUUUUAUUUCUUCUUCUUAUACCCAAUCACCACCUCCAUUGUUGUUGUGACCACCGGACACCACCUUCCAGUCGUGACCCACCACCACUGAUACCCACCUUAUACCUCUCUCUCUCUCUCUCUCUCUCUCUCUCUCUCGAUUAAAAAUCACCACCGAACACAACCCUCAUUCCUCCCUGCCUUCCCUUUCAUCGAGCUCACUAGAAAAACGCGAAAACGAAGCAGCAGAAGCCGCCGGAGCAGCCCCUGCCACCAUCGUCGCCGCUGCUGUGAACCACCGUCGUCGUCAGCUGUUGCUUCCGUCGGUCAUCUCUGACCAGCCCCGUCACCUCUUGCGACCCAUGUAUGUCUGAUUUUCCCCAUCAUUAUUUUCGUUUUACUUUUUGAUCGAUCAACAGUCUUGGAUGAGGAAGAGUUGGUCUCUGAUUUCGAUUAUACCUUCUCUGAUGUCGUCUACUGGUGUUAUUGUUGUUAGUCUACUUUGUGAGGACUCCAUUUUACCUUCGUUAUCUGUGCAUAACCAAGAUCUGAUUUUGCCUGCGAAUUCAAAGCUAUAAGGGGUUUGCUGUUAAGAACCAGAAGUGGGUUUGUGGAGUUAAAGUAUUAUCCAUGAGUAGUACCCAGUUAAAAAUAUUGGAUUUAUCUAAUCAAUUUGAUUGAGGCCUUCAUCAUUUUUGUUUUAUGAACAUAAUUAAAGUUUUGGGGCUGCAAUCAUGUUCUUUGGUUGGAGAAGAUGAACUAGGAAAUGGUUUCGUACAAGCAGGAGAGAGAGAGAGAGAGAGAGAGAGAGAGAGAGAGAGGUCCUUUAUUAUUUUUUAAUUGUUAAAAUAAUUAAAUAAAUAAUAUUAGAUUUUAAAAUAAUGAAAGAAAAUGAAAAAUAAAUAUCCCAAAGGUAUUAUAGUCAUUUCACUUUUCACAGGGACCAUUUUUACAUACAAACUGGUCCAAAAGGACCACCAAUCCAAAAAAGUCGGGGUUGUACUAAAACCCCAAAAAAAUACAUACCAAAGGGACCAUUUUGAAGUUUUGUCUAAUCUAUUUGAUCAAAUGUCUAUCAAACUAAAGUCAUGUCAUAAUAUCAAACUUUAUCAUAUUAUUUAGGGAAAAUGACUUGUAAGGGUAACAAAGUAUUAGACUUGUACAAAAAAUACCAUUGAAUUUUUUUUUUGUACGCAUAUCACCAAUCAACUAUAGUUUUUGUACACAUAUGACCAUUAAACUUCACAUUUGUUCAAAAAAUAUCAUUAUAUUACCGAUAAUAAUAGGUCAUUAGCCACGUAGCAUGUCACGUGGUUGUUGGCGUGGAUUUUUACUAUUUAUUAUAUACACAUUAUACCAUUAAACUAUUUUUUGUACAUAUUAUACCAUUAAACUUUUUUUGUACACAUUUUACCAUUAAACUUUUUUUUGUACAUAUUUUACCAUUAAUGUUAUAUAAUUUAUUGAAAAAAAUAUCAUUUCAAAAAAUACAUAUCGUUACAUAAAAGUAGGUUUCUCAUCACCUGAUGUGGAUUUUACUGAUUUUCUAAUUUUUAGUAAACUUAUCAUUAUAAGUCAUUUUCCUAUCGGUAAACAACGACAUAAUUUCAAUGCACUUUUUUAAUCAUCAACCAUAAUUAAGAAGAGGGUGGAUUAUGAUAAAGUAACAUGUAUAAAAUGUUUCAUGAGUUUAUAAGUGUGCCUCAAACAUAGUUUCCUAAGAAAACGACUUAUAAGAAUAUGUUUACUAGACAUUAACUAAAAUAAUGAACAAUUGAGUAUUUCUUCGCUGCUCCAGAUAAAAGUCUCAAGUUCAAAUCUUGUGGGUUUCAAUUGAUGUAUGACCAACAUAAAUUCACAAUGUAGUUGUAAAAGAAAGUCUUUAGUAUCAUUGUAAAAAACAAACCGUUUCCCCCAAACCUUACAAAAUCAGGGAGUCACAAUAGGUGAUGGAAAACCCAUUUUAUGUAAAAAUAUGUAUUUUUUGAAAUGAUAUUUUUUGAAUAAAUUAUAUAAGAUUAAUGGUAAAAUGUGUACAAAAAGUUUAAUGGUAAAAUAUACACAAAAAAAAGUUUAAUGGUAUAAUGUGUACAAAAAAUAGUUUAAUGGUAUAAUAUGUACAUAAUAUACAAUAAAAUUCACGUCAGCAGCCACAUGGCAUGCCACAUGGCAUGUUACAUGGCUGGUGACCUACUAUUACCGGUAACAUAAUGGUAUUUUUUUUUGAACAAAUGUGAAGUUUAAUGGUCAUAUGUGUACAAAAGUUAUAGUUGAUUGGUGAUAUGUAUACAAAAAAGAAAUUCAAUGGUAUUUUUUGUAUAAGUCUAAUACUUCGUUACCCUUACAAGUCAUCCCUAUUAUUUAUGACUUGUAGUUACAUUACAUUACAUAGGGCCGACAAUUCUUGACACGACACGCGACACGACCCGCGACACGACACGAAAUAAAUAGGUUCGGGUUGAGUUUUUCAACACGUCAACCCGCCAACCCGCCAACCUGCCAACACGUUUAUUAAACGGGUCAUAUAUGGGUUUCUCAAAAAAUAAAUAGGUUGACCCGCCAACCCGUUUAUAUUUUUUAUUAAAAAAAUAUAUUUUUUAUUUUUAAAUGUAUUUAUAUUUUGACUUGUGGUCCUAACUCAUAAGGUCGUAAGUAAGUUUGUAACCAAUUGAUUUUCCUCAUUUUUUCCCUAAAUCAAAUGGCGUAUCGGCGUAUGGCUGUAUGAGCGAUUGAGGCAUUGAACAUGUUUCUAUGAAUGUUUUUAAUUUUCAUUUGGAUGUUUAAGACUUUAAGACUUAGGUAGUUAAGUGUCUAAAAUUUAGAUAUGUUUGUAUCACCCAUCAAGAAUUUAUUCAUGUUUAAUUGUUAAAUUUAUUUAUGGAAUCUGACGCACGAACCCAAAUCUAACCCACAAACCCGCCAACCUGUGAAACCGUAUAAAUAAAUGGGUUCGUGGGUCAUAUAUGGGUUUAUGUUCCAAACCCGCCAACCCGUGACCUGUAUAUUUAAAUGGGUCGUGUUUGGGUUGACAUAUUUUGACCCGCCAACCCGCCAACCCGCGACACGCUAACCUGAACACGACACAAUUGCCAGGCCUACUUUCCGCCCUACGGCUCAAUGCAUCGGCUACUACAUUCGCCUUGCCCAGGUGGUACAGGAUCUCACAAUCAUAAUCCUUCACCACAUCCAACCAUCUCCUCUGUCGCAUAUUCAAAUUUAGCUGAUCCAUCAAGUACUUCAGACUCUUGUGGUCCGUGUAUAUGGUACACCGAACCCCNNNNNNNNNNNNNNNNNNNNNNNNNNNNNNNNNNNNNNNNNNNNNNNNNNNNNNNNNNNNNNNNNNNNNNNNNNNNNNNNNNNNNNNNNNNNNNNNNNNNNNNNNNNNNNNNNNNNNNNNNNNNNNNNNNNNNNNNNNNNNNNNNNNNNNNNNNNNNNNNNNNNNNNNNNNNNNNNNNNNNNNNNNNNNNNNNNNNNNNNNNNNNNNNNNNNNNNNNNNNNNNNNNNNNNNNNNNNNNNNNNNNNNNNNNNNNNNNNNNNNNNNNNNNNNNNNNNNNNNNNNNNNNNNNNNNNNNNNNNNNNNNNNNNNNNNNNNNNNNNNNNNNNNNNNNNNNNNNNNNNNNNNNNNNNNNNNNNNNNNNNNNNNNNNNNNNNNNNNNNNNNNNNNNNNNNNNNNNNNNNNNNNNNNNNNNNNNNNNNNNNNNNNNNNNNNNNNNNNNNNNNNNNNNNNNNNNNCAUAAUAAAUAAAUAAAAUUAGGCAUCUAGGAAUUGGAUUGCCUGGUUGAAAAAUCCAAUGGAUCCUUAAUCUCUAUUUUUUGUUCUUUGUUAGCAUAUAACUAGCAUAUUUUUUUUAAUAAAAUCAUGCCUUUCAAAAAAAGGAUACAACAUCACAUAUUCAUAAUACAAAACACACAAUAGCAGUAUACUCUAGCCAUAUUAUAAUUUUAGACAGUCUUUUAAAUACAAAUAGCAAAACAUUUUAUAUUCAUCAAUUUUUACUAAGGUAGGGCCAUCAUAUAAUAAGUGUCAAUUUUUAAUUUUAUUAGUUUGUGCGUGAAGUUAGAGUACAAUACAACUAUCAAAUGAACAAAGUUAAUAUUUUUCCUAAAAUGAUGAACCGUAAGUUUCUUUAUAAAAAAAUAAAAAAAAUAAAAAGAUAAAAAAAGUAUGUUGCUAUUACACUGUGUAAAAAAGAGCUUAGAAUAUAUUACUAUAUGAAUACAUUUGAUCCUAAAACGUGGAAGUUAAUGUGCAUUAUAAAAUUUUGUUUGCUAUUAAAAUGGAAACUAUAAAAUCUCGGUAAUAAACAUGUAUUAUCACCAAAAUUUACAACAGUCAAGAUAAGAUAACAAUGUGUAUGCAAGCAAGCAUACCAAAACAUACCAAUAAUAGGGACAAGGAUUAUAACGUUUCAAAAAAAUCUGUAGAAAUAAUAAGGAAAAUACAAAAAUAGAUAAAGUUUUCUUUUUACAAGCAUUUAACGACAUCCUUAAGGCGAAGUUAAACCAAACUUUCAAGUUGCAAAAGAAAAAAUGAAGGUAAAUGCCAAAAUGGAAGUAACAUAUAUUACAACAUCUUAAAUAUUACUAAAAGAGAAACUUUAUUACAUCAUCUUAAAUAAUCUGGACCAUUGAUUGUAUUUCAAUCUUAUUGUUUCACCCUUAGAUCAAAUUGCUGACAUCAUCUUCCCCAUAUGGAAUGUAUUUAAUUCCAAUAAAUGUUUUUCAAUCAUCAAUUAAUAACUUACAUUCUUUGAAAUGAAAUGUAUUUAAUUCCAAUAAAAGUUUUCCAUAUUUUACAUCUUGAAUUUUUUGUUAUGAAAAUUUUAAUAUGUCAAUUUAAAAACAUAUUACUAACAAAUCAUUUCAAUCAAGACCUUAAUAUCAACCAUUAAUAUAAAUCCAUUUAUAUUAGUAAACCAUUAAUAUAAAAUCUUUUUUUAUUAGGAAAUCAUUAAUACCUAAAAAUCAUAUUCAAAUUAUCACAUACAUAUACGAUUCAUCAUUGAAUCCGCGACUUACAUUUAUUUUCAAUCGUUUCUUUUCAUCAAAUCUUCUCCUAAAACAUCGUUAAUAUUGCUUAUAACUUCCAUCAUCAUUCUCUACUAUAAACAUUCGCUAUUGUGCGUUAGAAGGUCAGUACCUUCUUUCGCUUUUAUAUUUUUUUCGAUUAUUUUUUGUUCCCAUAUCAAAUGUAUGUAUUCAUAUAUUUCGAUUUUCUUUGUCACAAAUUACAUGAAAUUAGUUAACUACUUUUUCUGAAACUUUUCAAAUAAACAUGAAAAGAUAUUAGGUACCUUUAACAAAACAAAAAUUAACUAUAUUGGGAACUGACAUUAAUUACGAAAAUGUUACUUUUAUAUAUUAGAGAUAAUUAUGAUUUUUUUUUUAAUUUUUAUGUCAUAAGAAUCCGGUUAAUUUUGGCAUGAUUAUAAAAUAUCAUUGAAAUUAUUAUGUUUUUGUAUAUCAUAUCAACCUACUUUUUUUAUCUUUAUAUAAUAACAAUAAAAUUUAUUAAUUUACACAACAAAUAUAGAUAUUUCAAAUUUUGUAAUAUUAUUAUACCUUACAAAAUACAACUCCCUCCAAAAUAAAUUUUCGCCAGUAAUUUCAUCCAUAAUUUCAACAAAUUUAAAUUUGUAUUUUCUUUAUAUAAUUUUUUUUAAUUAUCCUGAUUUUUUUUCUCCAAAAGUAUAUCAAACAUUUACGUCUUAGAUAAUGCUGCCCUAUUAUAAUUAUUAUUUUCCAAAAAUAUAUCCGUUUAAUGAGGAAUUUGAUAUAAUAAAGGAAGUGAAUGUUAAUUAAAAUGAGAUAUAUAUUCCAUAAUUAUUACAUGAGUUUAUUAAAAAAAAUUAAUAUCAAUGUGUAAACAUUAAGCAUUUUUAAAGUGAAAUUUUAGAAUACAUACAAACGAUGAUGUUGUACAAUGAAAUAUAAAAUUGAAUAAACUGAAAAAAAAAACAUUAUUAAAGCAGUCAAUCUUGAAAAUAACAUAGUUAUGAAAAAUUAUAAAGUAAGAUAAAAAUUAUAAGAGAUUAGGAGAUUUGUUAAAAGUAUAUUUAGUAAAAGCGUUACGGUUAUUAAAAAAAAAUAAAACCGUUAAGAUUAGUGAAAAUACAAUAUAUAAACUAAAUUAUCACAAUAGUAAUGAAAUGUCAUUAUUUGAUAUUUCAUAUAAUUGAAAGAUAUAUCAAAUUACAUUGAUGAUAUACUAAAAUUAUUCAAAAUGCUUAUAAAUAUAUAAAUAUAAUAACUAUAUAAGAUGAGGAAAGUCGUUCAACUAAUAAAACAAAAAAUGAUGUCUACAAAGAGAUCUUUUAAUGAUUAUAUAUAUUUAUCGUUUUCAAUGUAUUUUCUACACAUUUCAAUAAUACCAAUAACCAUAUAUUUGUUUAUAAUCAUUAUACAAUAUCUAUAAACGAUUAUAUGUUUUUUUAUGCGUUUCCCGCGUUUAACGCGGGCUAUAAUCUAGUUUUAGUUAUUAGACAAAACUAUAAAAAUGGCUCAUAUGGUUUACAAAAUGUCACAAUGUCAGUCUUGUUAAUUUUUUUAUGCAAAUGAUCAUUGUGGUUUUCAAAACUUGCACAGAUAGCCCUUUUUACUAACUUCGUUAGUAUUCGGCCAUUAGGCCAUAUUAUGUGUUGGACAUGUGAAGUAUUUUGGUCUUUACAGGUAUAAAAGUGACUAAAUAUGUGAUAUUUGUAAACCAUAAGGACCAUUUUUGUAAUUUGUCUUAAACUAAAAAAAUUGUAAGAAAAUGAGGGAGUAGGAUUCGGAUGUGGGGACCUCCGCCCCUUACUACUCAAAGCCUUAUGCCAUUAAGGUGUUGUUUGUUUUUUCGAAGCGAAAAUGCAUAAAAUCUGCGGACCACCUCUGCAACCCUUUGUAACAGAAGAAGGAGACCAAACGAUUACAUCAUAUAAUAAUAAUUAUGUUUGUUUUUUAACCUCUGCAAACUGCUACAAUAAAAUGUUUGUUUUAAAAAAAAACAUAUUCUAACCACUUAUUAUUACGCCACGCAGCACACGUACAACACUUGGUCAUUCGCAUUUGUUUAUUUUUUAGAAGACUUCUGAUUUAAAAACUGUUGCGUGUGUGCUGCGUGGUGCAACACUUGACCCCCUGCUUCAAACCUCUUCACAUCUUACUUUAAUUUAUUGUAGCAGUCUGCAGAGGUUAAAAAACAAACAAACUGUUUUAUUACAUGCUGCAGUCGUUUGGUACUCUCUUCUGCUAUAGAGGAUUGCAGAGCUGGUACGCAAACUUCAGACAUUUUCGUUUCGAAAAAACAAAUGACACCUAAGUUAAAGUAAGGUGUGAAGAGGUUUGAAGUAGAAGGUUCAGUGCCGCGCCACGCAGCACACGCGCAACAAUUUUUAAGUCAGAAGUCUUCUAAAAAACAAACAGUUGCGAAUAGCCAAUUGUUGUGCGGCGCAACAAUAAGUGGUGAAAAGUGGUUUUUUAGAAAAAAAAAAAAACAAACAGCGCCUAAGCUUCAGUCAAACUUGGUUUAUAAUUCCGAAAACAAAACUAUACUACAUAAAAUCGCAAAAAAAGAUAAAUAAAUAAAAAAUUACAAUUUUUUCUACAUAAAACUUUUUCUUAAUAAAACAAAAUAUACUUUUACGUAUUGUAAAAAAAAUGAAUUUUUACAAUUAGUUUUUAUGUUUAUUUUUGCGUAUUUAUUUUUACGUAAAAUAAUUUUUAUGCAUUUAAAAAAUAUGUUUUCGUAUAAUAUGUUUUUAUAUUCUUAAAAUAUAUAAUUUUAAUGUUAUGUUAACGUCUUUAGUUUGUUUAAAACAAAACUGCAAGUAUAUCUUUUUUACGUAAAAACGUUAACAACGUGAUAACAUAACGUAAAAAUAUGCUUUAGGGUCAAAACAAAACGAUAUAUAUUUUUUUACGUAAAACAAAUAAAGACAUUAACAUAAUGUAAAAAUGUGUUUUUACACACAAAAAAAAAAAUAGACUUGCAUUUACGCUUUAAAUCAACUAAAAACGUUAAAAUAAUGUAAAAGUAUAUCUUAGAAUUAUAAUAACGUAAUUACGUAUUAUACAAAAAUAUUUUUUUUAAAUACAUAAAAAACAUAAUUUACAUAAAAUAAAUAUAUAUAUUUUUUUACUGUUUUUUUUAGGAUUAUGUUUUUUUAUAAUAUGUUCUUAUGUUUUUUUUUAUGUAUUUAAAAGUAGAUUUUUGGAUUAUAACAAUGUAAUAAUAUAUUAUACGAAACCUAUUUUUUAAAUAUAUAAAAAAAAAUACAUAAAAUAAAUACGUAAAAAAACAUUUUUUUUUACGUGAAAAAAAAACCAAUAAAUAAAGAAAAAACUUAUUUUUUAUAAAAACGUAAAAAUAUGUUUUAAGAUCAUAGCAAUGUAAUAUCAUAUUAUACGAAAAUGUAUUUUUUUUAAAUACAUAAAAAAUUACGUAAAACAAAUACGUAAUAGAAAAACAAAUAAAUUGUUUGUAAAUUUUGUUUUACAAUACGCUAAAAAUAUAUUUUGUUUUAUUAAUUUUUUUUGUAAAAGUAUGUUUUUUUUAUUAUUAAUGUAUUUACGAUUUUAGAUAAUAUUAAAUAGUUGUCCGAAAUAUAACAUAAGUUUAGCUCUAGCCUAGUUGACUAGAGCUUUGGCUAGUAGAGGGGGAUGAGGUUCUAAGUUCAAAUCAUCAUCUCCUCCUUUUCUAGCAUUUAUAUUAUUUUAAAACAGGUUAUAAAAAUGGUACCUGCGAUUUAUCAAAUGUCACGAAUUCAGUCCAUUUAUACUUUAAAAAGGCAAAAAUGCUCUUAUGAAUUUAGUUCCUAACGGCUGAAAAUUGACAACGUUAGUAGAAAUGAUCAUUCAUGCAACGAAUUCCAUUUAUACUUUAAAAAGGCAAAAAUGCUCUUAUGAAUUUAAUUCCUAACAGUAGAAAUGAUCAUUCAUGCAACUUUUGUAAACCACAGGAACCACUUGCGUAAAAAAAGAUUAAAAGAGACUAAGUUUGUGAUAUUUGGUAAAUCACAUCAUCAUAUUUGUAGUUUUGUCUAGUUAUUAUUAAAAAUGGAAUCUUCAAUUUUGUCUAGUUAUUAUUAAAAAUAGAAUCUUUAAAAUCUUAGUAAAUAAACAUUUACUAUCAUUAGAAUAUAGACUAAAUUAAACAAAUAGUCCCUAUGGUUUGUGGUAAUUUAUGUGUUUGAUUCGUAACUUAUUUUUUUAACUUGGAAAGUCCCAAUUGUUUGUUUUUGUUACGUCAUUGGUCCCUACUGUUUGUUUUUGUUAUGUGCUUAGUCCCUAUCUUACCUAAAAAGACUAUUAUUUAAAUAAAAAAAAUGGUGGGGUGGGUAAAUGAUGAGAUUUGCAAUCGAGUUUAAAAUCAACUCAAUUAAGAAUUCAGAAAGAAGAAAAACGAUGAACAAGAGAGUAAAUAUAAUAUUUGUUCAGCUCAUAUUAUGCUUUCAAUUUUACAGAGUACAAAGGAAUUCUCUGUAAAAAAUGUGUAAAAAGUUAUGUUCUCACUCAAUACAAACUCCUAUUUAUAGGCGUACAAAAGCAUAACAAAAUACUAAGGACUAGACAUUAAGACUAUUCAUUAAAAUGCCUUAGUAAAAAUAACAUUACAUCCGAAGACCCUUCUUACGAAGACUAAAGAUCCUUCGUAACAACAUAACUAACACUUCGACUUAUUACAACAUUUAUACCCUAACAAUCUCCCCCUUUGGAAUAAAGGUCGAAGUCUUCAUGAAGUUAGUAGUUGAACGGCAUACAUCAACACUCUUCGGAUUUCCAUGUACCAAGAGAUAACUUUCUUUAUCUCCUUCUUAUCUCCUUCUGAAUUCUUCUUACAAUGAUUCAUACGAACAAUUAAGUUCGUAUAUAUAUUGAGAAUUCGUAUAUCUCUCCACUUCAGAAGUUUGAAACAAGAAUCUUUUAGCUCUUCCAGCUUUAUCUUUUCCUGCAAAGACAAUCCCCAAUGGCUUUAAACAUAUUUCACCGUCUUCGUACUUUUUCAACUCAACCUGCUUCUUCGUAGGAGCCAUUGGUGCUGUAAUGUCGAUGCCUUUAAUAGUAGCAAGCUCGACAUCAGUUUGAGCUAAGCAUUCGAAAUAAUUCUCCAAGAAAAAUUUUAUGUGCCUACACCCAAGACUGAAGACAUCUGGUUCUGUUUCUUGGAGGAAAGAGAAGGACUUGUCUUUAAGUAUCAGAGCAACAUUGAUGAGAUCAUAAGUGUUCAUCAAUGGAAAGUCUGCCACAGUGAACUCUUGUAUCUUUCCACUUGCUCUUGUCACAACAUAUUUCAAAUUCUGAAACUUCCCUUCGAAAAUAACAUCCCUUUUUAUGGAUAUCACCUUCUUAAUCUUCUCCAAGAACCAAACUUCUUCUUGAGCCUUUGCUAACACAGCAUGAAAUCGUAUCUUCAUCUUCUUUCCCUCUUCGACAUCCAUAGACUUUGUCUCUGCUUUAAACUGUGGCAUGACGAACAUCAUCUCGUUGAUCGGAAAGUCAAGUUGACCAUAAUCAGUAUUUGUCACCACAAAACUCUUCUUCGGAAUCUUUUCAAAUGAGUACAUAUGAUCGAACAUCACCCUUGAUUCAAUAGUUUCGUAAUUGAACAAUUUCGAAGGAUCUCCCUUAUCAACAUUCGAACCUUCAAGAGCUCUCUGACGCAUUAUACUUUCAACAUGCCUCAUUCUUUCAACUUCAGCUGCCACCUCAGCUUUCAUCUCUUUGUUAGUCU
Molecule: long non-coding RNA, 21463 nt
Filed under: Lactuca sativa (garden lettuce)
Lineage: Eukaryota; Viridiplantae; Streptophyta; Magnoliopsida; Asterales; Asteraceae
Description: long non-coding RNA (LSAT_LNC006863)
Source: RNAcentral